UCGGGGUACUCGAGUGGCGAACGGGUGAGUAACACGUGGGUGAUCUGCCCUGCACUUUGGGAUAAGCCUGGGAAACUGGGUCUAAUACCGGAUAGGACCACGCGCUUCAUGGUGUGUGGUGGAAAGCUUUUGCGGUGUGGGAUGGGCCCGCGGCCUAUCAGCUUGUUGGUGGGGUAAUGGCCUACCAAGGCGACGACGGGUAGCCGGCCUGAGAGGGUGACCGGCCACACUGGGACUGAGAUACGGCCCAGACUCCUACGGGAGGCAGCAGUGGGGAAUAUUGCACAAUGGGCGCAAGCCUGAUGCAGCGACGCCGCGUGAGGGAUGACGGCCUUCGGGUUGUAAACCUCUUUCAAUAGGGACGAAGCGCAAGUGACGGUACCUAUAGAAGAAGGACCGGCCAACUACGUGCCAGCAGCCGCGGUAAUACGUAGGGUCCGAGCGUUGUCCGGAAUUA
This 457-nucleotide ribosomal RNA is filed under the name Mycolicibacterium senegalense. RNAcentral describes it as "bacterial SSU rRNA". It matches the Rfam family "Bacterial small subunit ribosomal RNA", at positions 82 to 553 of the family's 1533-position model. The record is from RNAcentral. Lineage: Bacteria; Bacillati; Actinomycetota; Actinomycetes; Mycobacteriales; Mycobacteriaceae.